AAGGCGGUUCUCUGGGCCUUUCCUGACGCUKAGGAGCGAAAGCGUGGGGAGCGAACAGGSUUAGAUACCCUGGKAGUCCACGCUGUAAACGGURGGUACUAGGUGUGGGGUCSAUUCCACGGGUUCCGUGCCUGUASUAACGCUUUAAGUACCCCGCCUGGGGAGUACGGCCGCAAGGCUAAAACUCAAAGGAAUUGACGGGGCCCCGCACAAGCGGCGGAGCAUGCGGAUUAAUUCGAUAGCAACGCGUAGAACCUUACCUAGUGGUUUGACAUGGAUCGGGAGYGCUCAGAGAUGGGUGUGCCUCUUUUGGGGUACGGUUCACAGAGUGUGUGCAUAUGCUKUCGUCAGCUCGUGUCUGUGAGAUGUUGGGUUAAGUCYCCGCAACGAGCGCAACCCUUKUUCACUKUUGCCAGCACGUUAUGGUGGGGACUCAGUGGAGACCGCCGGGGUCAACYCGGAGGAAGGUGGGGAUGACGUCAAGUCAUCAUGCCCCUUAUGUACUCAGGGCUUCACGACAGUGCUACAAUGGCUGGWUACAGAGAGUGGCGAGCCUGUGAGGGUGAGCGAAUCYCGGAAAGCCGGUCUCAGUUCGGAUUGGGGUCUGCAACUCGACCUCAUGAAGUCGGAGUCGCUAGUAAUCGCAGAUCAGCAACGCUGCGGUGAAUACGUUCCCGGGGCUUGCACUCACCGCCCGUCAAUCAC
Molecule: ribosomal RNA, 705 nt
Filed under: uncultured organism
Description: SSU rRNA
Rfam family: Bacterial small subunit ribosomal RNA
Source: RNAcentral